This is a non-coding RNA of Pelobates cultripes (western spadefoot toad), 288 nucleotides long. The record is from the annotation of a GenBank genome assembly. NCBI's taxonomy places the organism in Eukaryota, Metazoa, Chordata, Amphibia, Anura, Pelobatidae.
UGGAUCACCAAGCCUGGCCUAGAGGUGGAGUUAAGGCAUAUCUAUAGAGACAAUAAGUGACCACCCCCUUGUGUUCCAGACCCACAUCAAUCCAAAUUUAUUAUUAUUUUAUUUAUAUAGCGCCAGCAAAUUCCAUAGCGCUGUACAAUGGGUAGAAACUUUAUCUUCGAUCUCCUCUUUUUUGUACUUGCCACAGAAAUAAUAAUUGCAUCUAUGAAUUUGUUACCAUUUUUCCAUUUCAUAGAUAUGUCACAAUUCUUACUUGUGACCCAAUAUAGCGGAUAUCCC